GAUGAAGAACGCAGCGAAAUGCGAUAAGUAGUGUGAAUUGCAGAAUUCAGUGAAUCAUCGAAUCUUUGAACGCACAUUGCGCCGUUUGGUACUCCAAAGGGCAUGCCUGUUCGAGCGUCAUUUGUACCCUCAAGCUUUGCUUGGUGUUGGGCGUCUUGUCUCUAGCUUUGCUGGAGACUCGCCUUAAAGUAAUUGGCAGCCGGCCUACUGGUUUCGGAGCGCAGCACAAGUCGCACUCUCUAUCAGCAAAGGUCUAGCAUCCAUUAAGCCUUUUUUUCAACUUUUGACCUCGGAUCAGGUAGGGAUACCCGCUGAACUUAAGCAUAUCAAUAAGCGGAGGA
This 341-nucleotide unclassified non-coding RNA is filed under the name soil metagenome. Its description in RNAcentral is "partial contains 5.8S ribosomal RNA, internal transcribed spacer 2, and large subunit ribosomal RNA". The stretch from base 1 to 120 matches the Rfam family "5.8S ribosomal RNA", at positions 35 to 154 of the family's 154-position model. The record is from RNAcentral.